CCUACGGGUGGCAGCAGUGAGGAAUAUUGGUCAAUGGGCGGGAGCCUGAACCAGCCAAGCCGCGUGAAGGAAGAAGGCGCCAGGCGUCGUAAACUUCUUUUGUCGGGGAACAAAGGGCGCCACGCGUGGCGUUGUGAGUGUACCCGAAGAAAAAGCAUCGGCUAACUCCGUGCCAGCAGCCGCGGUAAUACGGAGGGUGCAAGCGUUGUCCGGAAUCAUUGGGCGUAAAGAGUUCGUAGGCGGCAUGUAAAGUCAGGUGUUAAAGGCGCAGGCUCAACCUGUGUAUGGCACUUGAUACUUGCAAGCUGGAAUGCGGUAGAGGUAAAGGGAAUUCCUGGUGUAGCGGUGAAAUGCUUAGAUAUCAGGAGGAACAUCGGUGGCGUAAGCGCUUUACUGGGCCGUAAUUGACGCUGAGGAACGAAAGCCAGGGUAGCAAAUGGGAUUAGAUACCCUGGUAGUC
Molecule: ribosomal RNA, 460 nt
Filed under: uncultured bacterium
Lineage: Bacteria
Description: partial 16S ribosomal RNA
Rfam family: Bacterial small subunit ribosomal RNA
Source: RNAcentral